Molecule: ribosomal RNA, 440 nt
Filed under: uncultured bacterium
Lineage: Bacteria
Description: partial 16S ribosomal RNA
Rfam family: Bacterial small subunit ribosomal RNA
Source: RNAcentral
CCUACGGGAGGCAGCAGUAGGGAAUAUUGCUCAAUGAGGGAAACCCUGAAGCAGCAACGCCGCGUGGAGGAUGAAGGUUUUCGGAUUGUAAACUCCUUUUGUUAGAGAAGAUAAUGACGGUAUCUAACGAAUAAGCACCGGCUAACUCCGUGCCAGCAGCCGCGGUAAUACGGAGGGUGCAAGCGUUACUCGGAAUCACUGGGCGUAAAGAGCGCGGAGGCGGGCUAGGAAGUCAGAUGUGAAAUCCUAUGGCUUAAACACAGAACUGCAUUUGAAACUAUGAUUCUAGAGUGUGGGAGAGGUAGGUGGAAUGCUGGGUGUAGGGGUAAAAUCCGUAGAGAUCAAGAGGAAUACUCAUUGCGAAGGCGACCUACUGGAACAUUACUGACGCUGAUGCACGAAAGCGUGGGGAGCAAACAGGAUUAGAUACCCUAGUAGUC